RNAcentral lists this ribosomal RNA (497 nucleotides) under uncultured bacterium. RNAcentral describes it as "partial 16S ribosomal RNA". It matches the Rfam family "Bacterial small subunit ribosomal RNA", at positions 28 to 507 of the family's 1533-position model. The record is from RNAcentral.
GAUGAACGCUGGCGGCGUGCCUAAUACAUGCAAGUCGAGCGAACAGACGAGGAGCUUGCUCCUCUGACGUUAGCGGCGGACGGGUGAGUAACACGUGGAUAACCUACCUAUAAGACUGGGAUAACUUCGGGAAACCGGAGCUAAUACCGGAUAAUAUAUUGAACCGUAUGGUUCAAUAGUGAAAGACGGUUUUGCUGUCACUUAUAGAUGGAUCCGCGCCGCAUUAGCUAGUUGGUAAGGUAACGGCUUAUCAAGGCAACGAUGCGUAGCCGACCUGAGAGGGUGAUCGGCCACACUGGAACUUAGACACGGUCCAGACUCCUACGGGAGGCAGCAGUAGUGAAUCUGCCGCAAUGGGCGAAAGCCUGACGGAGCAACGCCGCGUGAGUGAUGAAGAUCUUCGGAUCGUAAAACUCUGUUAUUAGGGAAGAACAAAUGUGUAAGUAACUAUGCACGUCUUGACGGUACCUAAUCAGAAAGCCACGGCUAACUACGUG